Molecule: long non-coding RNA, 1428 nt
Organism: Macadamia integrifolia
Lineage: Eukaryota; Viridiplantae; Streptophyta; Magnoliopsida; Proteales; Proteaceae
Exons: 2
Source: RefSeq, a predicted model, not a curated record
AAUCCACAAAAAAGUGGACCAAUCUAGUCCACUCCCUGCGGCCGUGCGAAACCAGGACUUGAAUGGGGUCAUGGUCCUUUAUCUUCAAGAUGAGACCCCUACCUGUUUAUAGGUCAUCAUCCUUAGUGUGGGUUAUUGGUGCCAUUGCAUUAACAAAAUUAUUCACUUUGAAUUUAACUUGUUCUGAAAUAUUGGGAAGAUUUAUGAUAUUUUAGGUUUCUUGUGCAAAUAAUUCGGGGAAUGAAUAAUUUGGUCCGCCAAAAAAGGACUCUUUAAAGAACUAUUGUUUGCAAAAAAUGCAAGAAAACUGGGUUUUUUUUUGUUUAAAAAUGGGUUCUAUGAGAACCUAUCUAACAGAAAAGAGCGGACUUUUUGUGCUGAAGUUUCAUCUUUAAUACCUUAUCUAAUUCAUUGCUGACUUUUUUCCAUAGUGCACCUUUUUCACAUUUCCAAAUCUGAAUUCAGUACUAUGAUUACUGUCCUACCUGAGUACAGGUCUGAUAGCUCCCGAUCCAAGAUUUUGGGAUGCUUCUUCUUCUUCUUCUUCUUCUUCUUUUUUAUUUUUUUAUUUUUUUUAUUUUUUAACGUUGGUAUUUGUGGUAUGACAAACUGCUAAAGGGCUAGUUAUAAGAUCAGAAUAAAUGAUGAGGGUGUCUGCGGACUCCAUUAACAAUGUUGCAGACGCAUGGUUCUCUGCCCUCCAUUCAAUGAGCCUCCUCUGCACAUAUACUGCUAACAAAAAUAAACUCUGUUGGACGUCUGAUAAUGCUUAGGAGAGCCUAGUACUAAUACCUAAAAAAUUUCUUCAGAGAGUAGCUUGCAGUUUAUUUUUCUCCCCUCAUAUGCUGCAAGUACCCAUGAUUAUUUUUCAGUGCAGCUUGUAAUUUUGUCUCAUCUAAAAUCAACAUUUCACUUUUCUGUGAUAGAAGGUACAAUAUUCUCAGUUGGCACAAGAUAUUGACUUGUUUAUCUGUGUGCUCAGGUGCGUGUUCAGUCAGAUCCAGUUGGGCGCUUGGUUAUAACCGGUGAACCAGAGCAGCCUGAUAAUCCUUGGGGUGUCACCCCCUUUAAAAAGGUUAUCAGCUUAUCGUCGAGAAUUGAUCCUCAUCACACGUCUGCUAUAGUAACCCUUCAUGGUCAAUUAUUUGUACGUGUGCCUUUCGAGCAGUGAGAUCUGUAGGAUGGGGAACUUGGUACUCUUUGCCCAUUUCAAGAGAUGACAACAAUUAUAGUUUAGGUAAAGCAAGAUUUAGGGAAAAUCAGUCGAGCUCGUUUUGUGCAUAUUGAUAGUUACUUCAUGAAAUCAUGCCAGAUACUUGGACCAUAUCAGUUUUAACUUUGUCGAUAGGAUUGGUAUUUUUAUUUUGCAAUUAUGUGCAGCACUAUAUUCAUAUUGUAUGGCAAUCAGAAGUUUAUUUUUCUUGGAUC